Molecule: ribosomal RNA, 180 nt
Filed under: uncultured bacterium
Lineage: Bacteria
Description: partial 16S ribosomal RNA
Rfam family: Bacterial small subunit ribosomal RNA
Source: RNAcentral
CCUACGGGAGGCAGCAGUGAGGAAUAUUGGUCAAUGGACGAGAGUCUGAACCAGCCAAGUAGCGUGCAGGAUGACGGCCCUAUGGGUUGUAAACUGCUUUUAUAAGGGAAUAAAGUGAGUCUCGUGAGACUUUUUGCAUGUACCUUUAUGAAUAAGGACCGGCUAAUUCCGUGCCAGCAG